GGCUCGAUAGCUCAGUCGGUAGAGCAGAGGACUGAAAAUCCUCGUGUCGGCAGUUCGAUUCUGUCUCGAGCCACCA
Molecule: transfer RNA, 76 nt
Filed under: Bacillus sp. (in: firmicutes)
Lineage: Bacteria; Bacillati; Bacillota; Bacilli; Caryophanales; Bacillaceae
Also listed under: 10 other names
Description: Bacillus sp. (in: Bacteria) tRNA-Phe
Rfam family: tRNA
About the family: Transfer RNA (tRNA) molecules are approximately 80 nucleotides in length.
Source: RNAcentral